CCGGUGUGUGAGUUAGAGUCUCACUGUAAGUCGGGUUAGAGGCCCGUUACCGGUGUGUGAGUUAGAGUCUCACUGUAAGUCGGGUUAGAGGCCCGUUACCGGUGUGUGAGUUAGAGUCUCACUGUAAGUCGGGUUAGAGGCCCGUUACCGGUGUGUGAGAUAGAGUCUCACUGUAAGUCGGGUUAGAGGCCCGUUACCGGUGUGUGAGUUAGAGUCUCACUGUAAGUCGGGUUAGAGGCCCGUUACCGGUGUGUGAGUUAGAGGCUCACUGUAAGUCGGGUUAGAGGCCUGUUAAUCGUUCUAGGGUUGACUACCCUACGCCACUUCCCGACGGGGACGGUGGAGAGUCUUGGCAACCAGUCGGGUUAGAGGCCCGAGGACUUAGGGGCACCUCGAAAUACUUAUUGUGUGUAAAGGUUCAGCUGGGUUAGAGGCCCAGGGAGUUUGGAACUCCCCGAAUUUUUUAUUAGAGAACUGGGUUUAAGUCCCAAAAAGUGUUGGGUCAGGGACCCGUUCAGCUGGGUUAGAGGCCCAGGGAGUUUGGAACUCCCCAAAUUUUUUAUAAGAAAACUGGGUUUAAGUCCCAAAAAGUGUUGGGUCAGGGACCCGUCAAUCAUUUGUUAAUCAUUCUGAGUCUGGGACUCACAGUAACAUAAGUCAGGUUGAAAUGGACGGGGAGUUUGAGAGAGAACUGUUGAGAGAAGUGUUGAAUUGUUUGUUGUCAAGGAGAAGUGAGGAGUAGAGUAAAUUGUGUUUUAAGAGAAUUCCUGUCUGUUUAUAAGGAAGUGUGUGAAAGGAGACUCCUUGGGAGUGAUGCGCAUAGUGGAUACAUUGACAGUAGAUGAUAGUGAUAUUUGCUCGAGUUCUAGAAAAGGGACGUCUGGAUAGAUUGGAAGAAGGGUUAAUGAAGAAAAUAGCCAGAUAGACAAAGAUUUAGUGGGAGAUGUGCCACGAGAAAGUAUUCAACAGUGGACAAAGGUUUUGGUCAAGUUUUGGGUAAUUAUUUGUGUAAACAUAGUUUUCUUUAAAGUGGUUUCAUUCAAUUGUUUGAAAAUAUUGUAAAG
This is a long non-coding RNA of Esox lucius (northern pike), 1064 nucleotides long. NCBI's taxonomy places the organism in Eukaryota, Metazoa, Chordata, Actinopteri, Esociformes, Esocidae. The record is from Ensembl.